UUAAAUGUUUGUGACUGUCCUUGUUUGUGCACAUGCAUAUAUGCAUGUGUGUAUAUAUAAAACAGUUAACUUGAUGUUUUUUGCCUCUUGUUUAUUUAUAGAUUGGAAAUUAAAGAGCAUUCUCAACAAGUAUUUUUUAAGUGCCUAUUAUGUGCUGUCCUGCAUUUCCAAUUCUCAAAUGAUUUCUCAACUUUGGCUGAACUACUAAAAAGGAAUAAAUCAGUCUUUCUACAUAUAUUGAAGAAACUACUGUGUGUUAAAGUCUGGAUAAAUAUCUCAGUGACUGAUGCAUCCAGAUUGCUGAGACAAAGAACUGGAUGCACAGUGCCAUGCAGUUGAUAUUACCCUCUGUGCUCCUGAUACCAUCUCACAGGAUUAAAAAAAAGAAGGAACUUAAC
This is a long non-coding RNA of Choloepus didactylus (southern two-toed sloth), 398 nucleotides long. RefSeq lists it as uncharacterized. The record is from RefSeq and is a predicted model, not a curated record. The transcript has 4 exons. NCBI's taxonomy places the organism in Eukaryota, Metazoa, Chordata, Mammalia, Pilosa, Megalonychidae.